GGGAGGCAGCUGUGAGGAAUAUUGGUCAAUGGGCGCAAGCCUGAACCAGCCAUGCCGCGUGCAGGAAGAAUGCCCUAUGGGUUGUAAACUGCUUUUAUUUGGGAAUAAACCUAUUUACGUGUAGAUAGCUGAAGGUACCAAAUGAAUAAGCACCGGCUAACUCCGUGCCAGCAGCCGCGGUAAUACGGAGGGUGCAAGCGUUAUCCGGAAUCAUUGGGUUUAAAGGGUCCGCAGGCGGUGCUAUAAGUCAGUGGUGAAAUCUCAUAGCUUAACUAUGAAACUGCCAUUGAUACUGUAGCACUUGAAUUCGGUCGAAGUGGGCGGAAUAUGACAUGUAGCGGUGAAAUGCAUAGAUAUGUCAUAGAACACCGAUAGCGAAGGCAGCUCACUAGGCCUGGAUUGACGCUCAGGGACGAAAGCGUGGGGAGCAAACAGGAUAGAUACCCUGGUAGUCCACGCC
RNAcentral lists this ribosomal RNA (460 nucleotides) under Bacteroidetes bacterium enrichment culture clone LiUU-12-67. Its description in RNAcentral is "bacterial SSU rRNA". It matches the Rfam family "Bacterial small subunit ribosomal RNA", at positions 343 to 801 of the family's 1533-position model. Lineage: Bacteria; Pseudomonadati; Bacteroidota. The record is from RNAcentral.